Molecule: ribosomal RNA, 600 nt
Filed under: uncultured Actinomycetes bacterium
Lineage: Bacteria; Bacillati; Actinomycetota; Actinomycetes
Description: bacterial SSU rRNA
Rfam family: Bacterial small subunit ribosomal RNA
Source: RNAcentral
GAAGGCCCAGCUUGCUGGGUUGGAUGAGUGGCGAACGGGUGAGUAACACGUGAGUAACCUGCCCCCUUCUUUGGGAUAACGGUCGGAAACGGCUGCUAAUACCGGGUAUUCACUGUCCUUCGCAUGGGGGGUGGUGGAAAGGUUUUUUCUGGUGGGGGAUGGGCUCGCGGCCUAUCAGCUUGUUGGUGGGGUGAUGGCUUACCAAGGCUUUGACGGGUAACCGGCCUGAGAGGGUGACCGGUCACAUUGGGACCGAGAUACGGCCCAGACUCCUACGGGAGGCAGCAGUGGGGAAUAUUGCACAAUGGGCGAAAGCCUGAUGCAGCGACGCCGCGUGAGGGAUGACGGCCUUCGGGUUGUAAACCUCUUUCGCUCAUGGUCAAGCCGCAACAGUGGUUGUGGUGAGGGUAGUGGGUAAAGAAGCACCGGCUAACUACGUGCCAGCAGCCGCGGUAAUACGUAGGGUGCGAGCGUUGUCCGGAAUUAUUGGGCGUAAAGGGCUUGUAGGCGGUUUGUCGCGUCUGCCGUGAAAUCCUCUGGCUUAACUGGGGGCGUGCGGUGGGUACGGGCAGGCUUGAGUGCGGUAGGGGAGACUGGAAC